GAUGAACAGCUACCAAAGAAGAAGUAGGGUCCCAUCAUUUCCUACCAAGAAUGAGGAUGCAUAUAUGACUGAAAUUAACUCCCUAGGGAGGGAGGAUCAUGAUUCAUGGCCACAUUCUGUGUGAACAUGCACAUACUCCACGACUGUCUUUUAGAACUUUGAGAUAGAUUUUGUUUCCCAUUAUUUAUCCGUUUUCUCUUUCCAAUUUCUUUAUUCUUUGUAAGUGGGGCACUACAGAAUAAAUACAUGGUGAAAACAUCAAUGAU
RNAcentral lists this long non-coding RNA (266 nucleotides) under Glycine max (soybean). RNAcentral describes it as "long non-coding RNA (GMAX_LNC001618)". Lineage: Eukaryota; Viridiplantae; Streptophyta; Magnoliopsida; Fabales; Fabaceae. The record is from RNAcentral.